RNAcentral lists this ribosomal RNA (292 nucleotides) under uncultured bacterium. RNAcentral describes it as "partial 16S ribosomal RNA". It matches the Rfam family "Bacterial small subunit ribosomal RNA", at positions 505 to 796 of the family's 1533-position model. The record is from RNAcentral.
GUGUCAGCCGCCGCGGUAAUACAGAGGUCUCAAGCGUUGUUCGGAUUCACUGGGCGUAAAGGGUGCGUAGGCGGUCGGGUAAGUCUGACGUGAAAUCCCGUGGCUUAACCAUGGAACGGCGUCGGAAACUAUCCGGCUUGAGGUUGCGAGGGGGGACUGGAAUUCUCGGUGUAGCAGUGAAAUGCGUAGAUAUCGAGAGGAACACCAGUGGCGAAGGCGAGUCCCUGGAGCAAUCCUGACGCUGAGGCACGAAAGCUAGGGGAGCAAACAGGAUUAGAAACCCUAGUAGUCC